Long non-coding RNA from Lycium barbarum (goji berry), 1341 nucleotides. RefSeq lists it as uncharacterized. Lineage: Eukaryota; Viridiplantae; Streptophyta; Magnoliopsida; Solanales; Solanaceae. The record is from RefSeq and is a predicted model, not a curated record. The transcript is spliced from 3 exons.
UGUAGUUCUUUUUUAUUUAGAUUCAAAUUUUACCUUGUAUAGAUUCUUCCCUUAUUUAAAGGAAUGUUAGUCCUUUUCAAUAAAUAAAUAAGGAAUACUUUUUUUUUUUUUUGGCAGAAACAAGUUACGUGCAUAAUAAAGUUAUGGAGUGUUUUUUAUUUUAUUUUUUUAGGCGUAUGUAAGUUUCGAUUCCGUCAAUUCUAAAAUUUAGGCUUUUGAUCUAUUAAAAUUAUAUUUUGUACAAAUUCUUUCCUUGAAUUAAAUAGCACAAAUAAAAUACCUCACGUAUUAGAACUUGAAAGAGAUCUUCUUCUUAUUCUUUUCUCACGACUUCUUCUACUGGAAAUUGAUUUUGCUUGGUCUCUAUUUUAUGUUAAAUGAAUUAUUACCGUUUUUCUUCAAUUCUGAUUAUGUUUGUUUUACUUUGUAGCCACAUAAUAUGGAGACAAAGGUAAGUAAAAUCAAUAGUUUUUUUUUUCUUUUUGAAUCUGUGGUAGGUGGUUCAAGAAUUAAGUCUUAUAUUGCUUUCUCUUUAUUUUUUCCGAGUUAUAUUGUCUCUCUCCGCUCUUGAUUGUCUAGGUUAGUAUCAUUGUUUAGCUUAUAUGACUGUUAACCAUGCAGAGCUCCUACUAUGCAGGGACCCUUCAAAAAUAGAGUUUGCAUUAGACAAAAUCGUAACUCAAUUAUUCUCCUAAUAUGUAGGAAUUCAAAAUCAACUUAAGUUUACGUUAUUAAGUCUUUGAUGUAUUUGUAAUUGAUCAAGAGUAUUCUAAUCCGUUUUCUUCUCUUUUUUUUUUCUACGUUGCUGACAGCUUCAUAAACCGACAUGAAGGGAUAUCAGAUGAAAAUCUCUCCACUUUAGUGCUUGAAACUUCAACAGGCGGCAGUUAGAAUGUGCAAUAGGCCAAGGUCCUUUCAAUUCGCAGGACCAAAUCAAACCCAAAAAGUGGUUGUGUGCGAAAUGACUGAUAUGAGGCGUACAUGGACUUCGUGGGUCCCCAUGGGUUGUGCUGCCAAGAUGUGAUGUUCCAUCGUCGGUGUACAUUGUACGAGUACCAGGUUGGAUCCGCUUUUACCCCUCGUGGCUGAUAGUUCGAGGUUGCUGAUUCAAGUCUAUUUAGGGUGAGCAUGAGGACGUUCGUUGCCCGAAGAUUUUUCCGACUACUUAUGUCUUACUUUUCAUUCUGAGACAUGAUUUGAGACACUUACGUAUUAUUAUCACUAUUGAGAUUGGUUGUAUUUUGGUUUAGAUGCUCUUGUAUGACCCAAUCAGAUACUUGGGUGGAUUUCACUUACUUCCGCUUACUUCCGCACUUACUUAUAUUAUAUCUGUUAGACUUA